CAAUAGCGUAUAUUAAAGUUGUUGCGGUAAAAAAGCUCGUAGUUGGAUUUCUGUUGAGAGCGACCGGUCCAUACCAUGUAUGCGUAUCUGGCUUGCUCUCGGCAUCCUCUCGAUAGACGUUACUGCGCUUGAUUGCGUGGUGCGGAUCUCGGGACUUUUACUUUGGGGAAAUUAGAGUGUUCACGGCAGGCUUUCGCCAGAAUACAUUAGCAUGGAAUAAUACUAUAGGAUCUUGGUUCUAUUUUGUUGGUUUCUAGAAUUGAGAUAAUGAUUAAUAGGGACAAUUGGGGGCAUUCGUAUCAACACGUCAGAGGUGGAAUUCUUGGAUUGUGUUGCGACGAACUACUGCGAAAGCAUUUGCCAAGGAUGUUUUCAUUGA
This 379-nucleotide ribosomal RNA is filed under the name uncultured eukaryote. RNAcentral's name for it is "partial 18S ribosomal RNA". It matches the Rfam family "Eukaryotic small subunit ribosomal RNA", at positions 592 to 976 of the family's 1831-position model. The record is from RNAcentral.